UACAUGAAGCUGGAAUCGCUAGUAAUCGCGGAUCAGAAUGCCGCGGUGAAUACGUUCCCGGGUCUUGUACACACCGCCCGUCACACCAUGGGAGUCGGAAAUGCCCGAAGUCUGUGACCUAACCGAGAGGGAGGAGCAGCCGAAGGCAGGUCUGAUGACUGGGGUGAAGUCGUAACAAGGUAGC
Molecule: ribosomal RNA, 184 nt
Filed under: uncultured bacterium
Lineage: Bacteria
Description: partial 16S ribosomal RNA
Rfam family: Bacterial small subunit ribosomal RNA
Source: RNAcentral